Molecule: transfer RNA, 75 nt
Filed under: Burkholderiales bacterium
Lineage: Bacteria; Pseudomonadati; Pseudomonadota; Betaproteobacteria; Burkholderiales
Also listed under: 2 other names
Description: tRNA-Val
Rfam family: tRNA
About the family: Transfer RNA (tRNA) molecules are approximately 80 nucleotides in length. Their secondary structure includes four short double-helical elements and three loops (D, anti-codon, and T loops).
Source: RNAcentral
GGGCGGCUAGCUCAGUGGUAGAGCGCCUCGUUUACACCGAGGAUGUCGGGAGUUCGACCCUCUCGCCGCCCACCA